This 131-nucleotide small nuclear RNA is filed under the name Pan troglodytes (chimpanzee). RNAcentral describes it as "U4 spliceosomal RNA". It matches the Rfam family "U4 spliceosomal RNA". From Rfam's summary of the family: U4 small nuclear RNA (U4 snRNA) is a component of the major U2-dependent spliceosome. The record is from Rfam by way of RNAcentral. Lineage: Eukaryota; Metazoa; Chordata; Mammalia; Primates; Hominidae.
AGCUUUGUGCAGGUGGCCUUUCAUAGCCAGCUUGAAGUUUAUCUGAGGCACUUGCUAAUUGAAAACUUUUCUCAAUACCCUGCCAUGAUGAAAUAUGGUGGCACUGGCAUUUUGAGGACUUCUAUGCGAGA